AGAAACGCUGUGUGGACAUCCUGAAUGUGCGCCUUGAGAUCUUCGUAAGAUGGGGCUCUGAAGUCACAGCCAUCACACUGAAGCACCUCCAUGAUCUGGGUCUACUCUCUCACAUUAGGAACCUGGGGGAGAAGAGGAGGGGGUGCCAAUCCGCACGGCUUUGCCAUCGGGCUGGGGACAGGCGGACAGAGAGAGGGCAAGGAAGGAGAGGGACAGAGAAAGAAAGAGGUCAACCCGCUCGGGUCGGGGCGGCCCGGGGCGCUCCCUCCGCCGCCCCGGGCUCGCUCCCUCUGGCUCUCGGCUCAGGUCUCCUGCCUCCCGCCCUCCGCCCCCCUCUCCGUCCCUACUCCUGUCUCCACACUCGGAGCAUCCGUCCUAAGCCUCCAGCCCUCUUCUCACUCAUCUUUCAUUUUCUCUUCUCUCCACAGAACUACACAAAAUUAAUUAAGCCCCAGCGCUCCGCUCCCCCCAGCAGGAGCGGCCAGCAGGAAAAGCACAGCCACCUCCACGGCCGCCACCACCACCUUCUCCUCCUCUUCCUCCCUCGCUUCGCCCCCCCUCCUCCGCCCCCCCUGCUCCCCCUCCUCCUCUCUCGCGGCUUCUCUCCCAACAGCCAGUCCAGGCAGGGAACUUCCUCUCCUCCCCGCUCCGCCAACCCUCCUCGGCCGAAUGAAUGAGCGCGUCUGUGCCUCCACCGCCCCGCGCUCUCCUCCCCGGAGCACUCGGACCACCCCGAGGUGGCUGGUAAUUGCAGUAACUUACAGAAGAAGCGUCCCGGCGCCGGGAGGUGUUUCGGGUUCUCCGGCCCCACCGCCGCCUUAUCCUCUUUCUCUUUCUCCUCUUCCUGCUCGGGUUAUUGUUGUGGAAGUUGUUUGGGAGUCUCAUGUGCUUCUGCCGGGUCUCAGCAAUGGAGGAUCGCCAUCUUCCCUGCCUUCCUCGGCUCCUCAGACUCGCUGCAGCUGCAGAUGACCUGAGAUAUCCGUCUCCCUCUGCCUCUGCCUCUCUCUCCCUCCCUCCCUCCCUCUCACCCUCUCUCCCCUCUCUCUCCCCUUCUCUCCUCUCCUCCCUCUCCCUCGCGCGCUCUCUCUCUCCCUCCCUCUGUGUCUCUCUCUGAAUAAUGAGCAACCGGAGGGAGAGAAAGCAAGACAGAAAGAGAGAAGGAAGACAAUCUUCUCCUGCCGCACAGAACGCCGGAGCACCAGGGGGUGCGCGAAGCCUUUCUAAUAACAACAACAACGUGCCGGAGAGAGGAAGAAAAAAGAAAGAAA
Long non-coding RNA from Manis pentadactyla (Chinese pangolin), 1268 nucleotides. RefSeq lists it as uncharacterized. Lineage: Eukaryota; Metazoa; Chordata; Mammalia; Pholidota; Manidae. The record is from RefSeq and is a predicted model, not a curated record. The transcript is spliced from 2 exons.